This is a long non-coding RNA of Phyllostomus discolor (pale spear-nosed bat), 4565 nucleotides long. RefSeq lists it as uncharacterized. The record is from RefSeq and is a predicted model, not a curated record. Lineage: Eukaryota; Metazoa; Chordata; Mammalia; Chiroptera; Phyllostomidae. The transcript is spliced from 2 exons.
AUAUAUAUAUAUAUAUAUAUAUGGAUAGAUAUUCACUCAUUUCUUCUUGUUCUGUCAACUAAGAGGAACUAGCAGCAAUGAUAGCCCAGCAACAAUGAGCAUACCUAGCACCCAGAUCUUGGUUUCUAACACCAUUAGCCAAUCAAGGAAACAAGGGCUCCUUGGAGAAAUGGCUGCUUUAGGACAGGGCGUGAAAUAUGCAAGAUGAACCUGGUACUAAACAGCUUAUAGUUCAAGAAAGUGAGGAAGUGCUCAAAACAAUAGCAAUAAAAACACCAUGAUGCAGUAUGUCUCAUAAACGAGAAAUGAAGAGGCUUAACAUGAGUUUGGUGGACAGGCACUGACCACUCAUUAAAACCAGGUGCUUGGCCCUGAUGGCUGACCCAAUACACUUUGUUGUGCCAGGGUUUGUGCUGCAUAUCUUCUUGCUGCUCUUGUGAGUUGGUGAGACCUGGAUUCCUCUCCUUCAUUUCACAACUAUAGCAACUUGCCUGGGAUUCCACAGCCCAGUUUUGAAGACAGGGGCAACUUGAAAUGAGGAGAGUAAAAAAUAAAUCACAUUUCCAAGGAGAAAAUCAAGUCGUUGCAACUCAAUUAUUAAUGUGCAGAACUGUUAUGUAAUGUAGCAGCCCAAUUAACAGGUGUCUCUCGGGGAAUAAUCAAGGCUUAAUUUGGCAUGAUAAUUAGUAACCUCCCUUCUCAGCUUUGGAUGGGGGCCCCUGCAGGACAGCAUGAUGGCUGGUAAUGAGGCAGUAUCACUUACUUUGCAGCCGUGUUAAUUGUAUCUUUCUGCGCAUGGGAACAAAACAGAUUUACCUGUUUCUAGAUGCUGGGAUGUGCCACUAAUCUAAUAGACUUGUACUUUUUUUCUGGUCUUGCCAACCCAGACCUUUUUGAAGGGCAACACUGUUACACAUUUGAGACUUCUUUAAUUGGCUGGGUUGUUAUAAUUGCUACAUUGUAGCCUUUUUCCCCUGAUAGUCUGGAUAGCAGAGUUUCAGUCUUAAAAGAUGUAUGGCCAGAGUUGACAGGCUCUUAGAAAUAUCUGGGAGUUGUCCUCUUGCCUGUACCUGUAAUAAUAGGUGACCACAGUCACCCUAGCAAAGACAUCUAUUUCCCCCUUGUGUCCCAGGGCACCCUUCUUUGUUACAAUAAAGCGCUAGAUGUAUGGGCAACCUGAAUAGUCACAGAAAACAAAAACAAAAUAACUUUGUUGUGUUAUUUUUACAAAAAGAAAAAAGCAUAAAGCAGAAAGAAAUACCAAUCAUUAGUCAUCCUUCAACUGAGAGGUAAGCAUUAUUAUUUUGAUAUGAUAUCUUUCCAUAUUACACACACAUGUAUGUUCACAUAGAGCUAUUUAUACAGAUGUGAUAUCUGUUUGCACAACUAGGAUUGUGCAUGCAUACUAUUUUGUUAACAUAGUGUCUGAUCUCAGCAACAGAUUUUGAACCAAGUCUGCACUAGGUUUUCCUAAAAUUUCUUCCUCUGAAGUUUAGUACCCGCUGGUCUGUGCUCUGAGAAUUAAGCUGAGACAAUAUAUAUAUUUUUUUUCUCCCUCUUGGUAGCACACAAUGAACAUCCCUGUAUUAAAGUUUUUGUUAAAAUGUAAAAAUGUUAUUCAGGGAAAUUACUAUUGUUUCCCUUAAUUACAAGACAAGAGCGCUGACAACCAUUUUUUUAAACUAUACUCCAUAAAAUGAUAUUGAAGAUCUAAAUAGUUUUCCAUCUUUGUUUUAUUUUGUUUUGCUAUUUAAAUAUCACCACAGUGAACAUCCUUACAUAUACAUCUUUGUGUAUAUCUAAUAUGUUCUUAGAACUAAUUUGUAGAAGAGCCAGAGGUCACCACAUAUGCAUAUUUUAAGGUUUCAAACCAGCUUAGGUGAAUUGCUCUCUCCAAAAAUCGCAUGUAUUUACAAACCUGCAAGACACAUGUAAGACCAUCCCUACCCCCUUUCUGCUUUGAAGUACACUUUUAAUUCCAGGUUAUACAACUUUAGUGAUGAUAUAGGAGACAAAAUGAGAAAGUUUAUUAAAUUCUUAUUUAUGUAUUCAAUUUGCAUCAGCCUUUUACUUCCCUAAGCUCAAGGCACCACACAGAAACAUUGAACUUGUAACUCUUGGCUGUGUGAGUCUAAGAGAGGGGAUGAGGGGAGGAUGGAGGAAAUGGAUAAAAUCUAGGAAUAAUAAUCAGUUCAAACUCUUGAGGAUCACACGAGGUACAAGCUCAAAACCCUAGGUCCAGGCGGAAGGCCGUUUACUAUUCCUCAUCUUGGUUUCCUCCUGCAUGGGUUGUAGGAAAGGCUGCAGUGAAGUUUUGUGUUUCUUUUCUGCCCAGGGACACCUGGCGGAUGGAGCAGGCAGGUUGCGGCUGAAGGUCAAGCCCGUCUUCUCCCACUAAGCCCUGCCCUCUUGGUGCUGAGUGCUGCCAAAGGAGCCACCACCGCUUUCCGCUGUGCACAAAGUCACUGGGUGGGCCAGCAGAGGCCCGGAGGGUGGUUACAAACAGACACACCCCCACAAGCAAAACCCACCACCUUGAGCCCAUAAUCUAUUUUCUUACUCUCCAUCUCUUUUCUUUAAUGAGAUGGCAUUCCCCUGACCAGUGUGGCUUAGUUGGUGUUUCUCUCCCUCCCCUUCUCCCGCCCUUCCCCUCUUUCUAAAAAUAAAUGCAUAAAGUCUUAAGAAAAAAAUGAGGUGAGAGUUAACUUCUAAAAUGAUACAUUUUUUGUAGCUAAUAGCUUUGUGAAAAAUGUUUCUUUCUUCAGACACCACCCAAGGAGGGGCCAUGAAGAUGUUUCUGCAAUGUUCCUCCCACCCCGGUGUUGGACAAUUUCAUGCCAAUAUUUUCCCCCAAUGAUUUGAGAUGCUCUUAAUUGCUUUACUGGAGGGAAAUAAAACACCUUUUAAGCCAACAGCUGAGCAAUUUGCUAUGACAAUUCUGCCACUAUGCAUUCACUUAAUUUCCAAUUAAUCAAACAUUCAAUAAAUCAUUAGUAUAAUUACACCUGCUCCCAUCGUCUUGCCCCAGCACAUUAGCUCAACUCAGGCAACCCCCCUGGACUGGCUGUGGGAAACGUGUUCAUUUGUCUGCCCUGGAUGGGUGCGCAGCCUCGCUCCCUGUGAGCCUUGAAAAAUGACGGGGAAGAAACUGUAAUUAUUUCAGGCAACAGAAGUUUGCUUGGUUUCCCUCUUCUCGGCUCCUCACUCCAAUGCUUCCCCAACAACUAAAGCCAACAUCGUAGCAUCCUGGUAGCGGUGGCUGGUUAAUUUCAGCAAGUGGUUUUAAAAAUCAUUUUUAUUUCCAGACUGUGCCUCUUUUCUAAUUACACUAUCUCCCCAGGUGAGCGAUAAUUCCCUCAUCACCACAGAUCUGAAGCACGGAUUAUUAAAAUAAUAUAGCUUAUGCCAUAUAAAUGUAGCAGAAAGUAUCUUAAAGAUGUUCCAUUGAAAGCCGGUAAAUUGGUUCAACAGAUGAAUGUUUUAGGGCCUGUUUUUAAAAAGUUGCACAAGUAUAAACCCACUUGAAUUACGGCUGUAGUUUCACACCAGCGGUUGCAAUUAUUUUAAACAUCUAACUGCGCAAAAGACAGAUCUGUAAGGGAAAGAGCUAAAUUCUCUGAGAUUAAUUAAAGGGUUUCAUUUUGCUCUUGAUUUAAAAAUAAAUUUCAAGUAUGCAUCACUUGUUGUUCUCUUGAAGAAUUUGCAUUACAGGGUUUAACCAAAAAACAAAGUACUGAGAGUGUUAAGCUUCAUGAGUUCUUCAUACAAUGUAGCUGGAAGCUCAUAAAGAGAAGGGCGGACCUAUUGUUGCUACAGCACAUUCUCUACAUGCUUCUUUGUACCUUUUCAUUUGUGAAGGGUAUUAAUCUUAAAACUCAUUUCCAGUGUAAGAUUGUGCAUUUACAUGAAUUUCCCAUAAAAUUGCUCCUGAUUCGAUCUCUGCCCAUUGAUUUAAUUUCUUUUACCUCUCAGAGCCAGUGGUGCUGAAGGGUUUAUGGUAAUUAUAGUGUUGUGGGUUUCAGUGGAAUAGUUCCUUGGUAUCUUAAGUGUGGGUUUGAUUCUCUCUCUCUAAGCUCGCUCAGCCCUGGAGAUGGUGCAGCAAAUGUCUCUGAGGCAGGGAGCUCACAAGCCAGAUCAGAAUGCUGGAUGGUACACAGCUGAGAGUCAAGGGAAGCUGGAGAGGGAAUGGCCUGCGGCUACUGGCCAGAUGGAUGGCUGUUCUAAGGGGCCCUUUAAGGUGAAUCACUUGGCAAUUUUGUGAGUUGGCAGAAGGUACAGCCACCUGUGCUCAACGUGAAAUGAGAUACAGGCAACCUACUGGUCUGAAAUAUGCUGCUCGCCCUUUGAGAGAUGGCACAGUGUUACAAGAGGUGAUUUUCCUAAUAGUAGGGUGUAGGGGGAGGCAACCACAGCAAAAGUAUUGUGAGUUUUGAGUAGGACUGACUAGGGUUCAAAUUCUCAAAACCCCAAUUCUUAUCUGUAAUAGCACUGUCUAAUAGAACAUGGUGUAACCUGCAUAUGUCAUUUUAGUUUUUUCUAGUAGCCACAUUAAAAAAAAGAAACAG